This 255-nucleotide ribosomal RNA is filed under the name uncultured bacterium. RNAcentral describes it as "partial 16S ribosomal RNA". It matches the Rfam family "Bacterial small subunit ribosomal RNA", at positions 524 to 777 of the family's 1533-position model. The record is from RNAcentral.
UACGAAGGGGGCUAGCGUUGUUCGGAAUCACUGGGCGUAAAGCGCACGCAGGCGGAUCGUUAAGUCAGGGGUGAAAUCCCGAGGCUCAACCUCGGAACUGCCUUUGAUACUGGCGAUCUUUGAGUCCGGGAGAGGUGAGUGGAACUCCGAGUGUAGAGGUGAAAUUCGUAGAUAUUCGGAAGAACACCAGUGGCGAAGGCGGCUCACUGGUCCGGUACUGACGCUGAGGUGCGAAAGCGUGGGGAGCAAACAGGG